Molecule: ribosomal RNA, 253 nt
Filed under: uncultured bacterium
Lineage: Bacteria
Description: partial 16S ribosomal RNA
Rfam family: Bacterial small subunit ribosomal RNA
Source: RNAcentral
UACGUAGGGGGCUAGCGUUGUCCGGAAUCAUUGGGCGUAAAGAGCGUGUAGGCGGCCCGGUAAGUCCGCUGUAAAAGUCAAAGGCUCAACCUUUGAAUGUCAGCGGAUACUGCCGGGCUAGAGUCCGGAAGAGGCGAGUGGAAUUCCUGGUGUAGCGGUGGAAUGCGCAGAUAUCAGGAGGAACACCAACGGCGAAGGCAGCUCGCUGGGACGGUACUGACGCUGAGGCGCGAAAGCGUGGGGAGCGAACAGG